AACGAACGCUGGCGGCAGGCCUAACACAUGCAAGUCGAACGCCCUAGCAAUAGGGAGUGGCAGACGGGUGAGUAACGCGUGGGGACGUACCCUUCGGUUCGGAAUAAGCCGGGGAAACCUGGUCUAAUACCGGAUACGUGCGAGAGCAGAAAGAUUUAUCGCCGAAGGAUCGGCCCGCGUCCGAUUAGCUAGUUGGUGAGGUAAUGGCUCACCAAGGCGACGAUCGGUAGCUGGUCUGAGAGGAUGAUCAGCCACACUGGGACUGAGACACGGCCCAGACUCCUACGGGAGGCAGCAGUGGGGAAUAUUGGACAAUGGGCGCGAGCCUGAUCCAGCCAUGCCGCGUGAGUGAUGAAGGCCCUAGGGUUGUAAAGCUCUUUCGCCAGGGACGAUAAUGACGGUACCUGGAUAAGAAGCCCCGGCUAACUCCGUGCCAGCAGCCGCCGUAA
Molecule: ribosomal RNA, 449 nt
Filed under: uncultured bacterium
Lineage: Bacteria
Description: partial 16S ribosomal RNA
Rfam family: Bacterial small subunit ribosomal RNA
Source: RNAcentral